This 787-nucleotide unclassified non-coding RNA is filed under the name Hevea brasiliensis (rubber tree). Lineage: Eukaryota; Viridiplantae; Streptophyta; Magnoliopsida; Malpighiales; Euphorbiaceae. The record is from RNAcentral.
GUUUUUAAUUCGAUUUGCCUAAUAAUAUUUGACAGAAAAGAAGCCCUAAUAUAGGCUAAAACAGUACUUUAGGUCUAGAGAGGAAAGGCAAAACGGGUUGGUUGAGUAAGCAUAAGAGAGAUUGCAUUGCUCGUGCAAAUUUCCUUUAAUUUACAUGAGCCUGACUCAUGUAACUUUGUGUCUCACUUUGGCUCUUGUUUUCAAGAUUGCACGGCUGUGCACAGGAAGCACCUACUGUGUAAUUUAAAAGCUGGGGUUCCACGGCCAGAGACAUGGGGCCGCGCAACUGAUUGUGCAACUUCCUGCUUUUUCUUAUAAUUUAACGUUUUCCUCUUUUCUUCAACAAGCAAUUUGACCUCUAAUUCAACAUGCUUCUCUUCCCCACUCAUAUCCAUGACCUCUAAAGCUUGUAAAUGAAUGAAAGUAAGAAAUUAACCAUUAAAUGCAAAAUUAUAGAAAGAAUGUAAAUGAAUGAAAAGCAUAGGAAAAUGUAUGUAAAAUAGCUAUUUAAGGGGCAGAAAAAAUGUCAAACAUGUCAUAAAUGUCUAUAUAAAAUGAAUGCAUUACCAUCUAAUAAAAUAACACAAUAAAAAAAAAUACUUAGAAAGGCUCUACAGCAAAGAGAACUAAAGAGAGACACCUCCAUGAAAGAAGUCAAAACACCAAUAAAACCUCAUCAAAGGGAACUAAACACUCUAGAUCUAUCAACAUGCAUAGAUCAGAGGAAUAAACCCAAAAUCCAUUUUAAAUGAAUCCAAAUCUAAGAAUUAUUUGAAGAAAAUACAAA